AGUUGGGCACUUUAAGGUGACUGCCGGUGACAAACCGGAGGAAGGUGGGGAUGACGUCAAAUCAUCAUGCCCCUUAUGACCUGGGCUACACACGUGCUACAAUGGACGGUACAAAGAGCUGCAAGACCGCGAGGUGGAGCUAAUCUCAUAAAACCGUUCUCAGUUCGGAUUGUAGGCUGCAACUCGCCUACAUGAAGCUGGAAUCGCUAGUAAUCGCGGAUCAGCAUGCCGCGGUGAAUACGUUCCCGGGCCUUGUACACACCGCCCGUCACACCACGAGAGUUUGUAACACCCGAAGUCGGUGGGGUAACCUUUUUGGAGCCAGCCGCCUAAGGUGGGACAGAUGAUUGGGGUGAAGUCGUAACAAGGUAGCCGUAUCGAA
This 382-nucleotide ribosomal RNA is filed under the name Bacillus subtilis. Its description in RNAcentral is "bacterial SSU rRNA". It matches the Rfam family "Bacterial small subunit ribosomal RNA", at positions 1129 to 1509 of the family's 1533-position model. The record is from RNAcentral. Lineage: Bacteria; Bacillati; Bacillota; Bacilli; Caryophanales; Bacillaceae.